RNAcentral lists this ribosomal RNA (479 nucleotides) under uncultured bacterium. Its description in RNAcentral is "bacterial SSU rRNA". It matches the Rfam family "Bacterial small subunit ribosomal RNA", at positions 28 to 526 of the family's 1533-position model. The record is from RNAcentral.
AAUGAACGUUGGCGGCGUGGAUUAGGCAUGCAAGUCGAACGGGCCGCAAGGCCAGUGGCGCAAGGGUGAGUAAGGCGACGGUAACCAACCCCAAGAUUGGGUAUAGCCGCGGGAAACUGCGGGUAAUCCCCAGCGAUGCAAAGGCACCGGCAUCGGUGCUUUGCCAAAGCUUCGGCGUCUUGGGACGGGCUGUCGUGGUAUUAGCUUGUUGGUGAGGUAAUGGCUCACCAAGGCUUCGAUGCCUACCGGGCGUGCGAGCGUGGCCCGGCACACUGGGACUGAGACACUGCAGACUCUUACGGGAGGCUGCAGUCGAGAAUCUUCGGCAAUGGGCGCAAGCCUGACCGAGCGACGCCGCGUGGAGGAUGAAGGCCUUCGGGUUGUAAACUCCUGUCGAGGGGGAAAAAGGCUCCGCAAGGAGCUUGAUUGAUCCCUGGAGGAAGCACGGGCUAAGUUCGUGCCAGCAGCCGCCGUAAAAC